ACCGGGGAGGAGGAGGCGGCCACACGCUCCCAAGUCCCUCCCUCCCCAUUGGCCAAACUGUGGGCCGCGCGCCCCCCUCCAUUGGCUACGGCCGGGGACCCCUUCCCGCAGCUGACUCCCCAUUGGCUGAAGCCGGGGACCGCGAGACCCUCCUUGAAAGGACCCAGGGCUCCUUGAAGAAAUGGCUGACUCCAGCCUGGGCAGGAGCAAGGAAGGCACCAGAUGAGCUUGGAACAUUUUGUCAAGCCAGAAAAUACGACGGGCCAUCCUGAUUUGUUCCAGUAAGGAUACUGCUUCUGAGACAGCAGCUACCAUUGGAGUGGCCAACUGAUUAAGUUUACAACUGUCCACAGUCCAACAGCCAUCUGAUGUCUGCAUAGGCCAGAUUCCUGUCUUUGAGGGCGGCAUUCGUCUCUACAGUUCCCCCAGGGAUGUGAUAUUUCUCCUAGGUAACUCUCUUGAAAGAAAGUGGAAGUUCCAGGGCUUUCACAGAGCACUUCCUGCCAUCAUGUUCUCACUCCACAAUGUGGGGAUUCUGCCACUUGCCAUGGAUGUCUAUUUCAAUUAUACUCUCAGGAACUUGGAAAUAACCAUAGGGUGGGACCAAAGAUCAGCUGAGCCCUCUGAGUUGGGCCUGAGCUAAGACUCCAUCUACUAAUAUUACCUGACCACCGUAAGCCCCCACUUUGAUUGGCGGCCCACCGGGGCAUUUGGAACCUCAGGAAUUAGUGUUAAUACAGAGCCAGUCUCUAGUGGUCCUCAGAAGGCCUGGGUAUUUUCUUCUCCCUGAUGCACAGUCACUCUAGUAAACAGGUCACAGUUCCUGUCUCAAGGAGACCCAACCGCCCUUCAAUCAAGGGGCUCUGGAUCUGUGCUGACUUUGGUUUAGAGACUGGAAGAGACCAUGGAUCUCCACGGUGGAGACUCAAGUCAGGUUUUGGCUACCAGAGCAAGAUUCCCCCCACCCCGUGAUAUCGAUUAAGCAGUUCUUUAGUAGGCUGUCCAUCUAUGUGUUCUUAGGAACAUGCUGACCCAUUAGCUACUGCCCAAGACUGCUGGGGGCCAAGGCAUUCUGGUGACUGGUUAGCCCCUGUUGCCCUGUAGAGCAGAUACAGCCAUCCUGUCUUUGGUGGCAAUCUGCUGUCACUUGGCCUCUGGUACCACAGGGUCCCUUUACCCCCAGUGAAAUCAGGGAGCGCAUUUCAGUGGUGGCAUCCCUCAUAGUAAUACCUGGAGCACACAAACAGCAACAAUGGAGCUUUUCAAUCAUGCAGGUGCUUUCCUCACUAAUGUAUUUCUCAAUGCCUUACUGACGGAGGUGUCGUAUAGGCCUCCUCGUGGAAUGUGGUUCGGGGGUGAGUAUGUUGAUUUCACAUGAUAAAUAUACUCUGAUAUUCCUAUCUCCCUAAGCCUUCAGGUUUUCUACUCUACACCAUGGCAGGGAAGGUCUGGCGUCUCAACUUCAUUAAAGGUCGGCCGCUGUCAAGUUCAAGUUUUAGUCAACUUACCGAGUAAACUGUUAGAGCCACGUCCAGCUGUAUGAGCCAACACAUUAAAUCCAGCCUCUCUAGAAAGUGCACCCGUAUCAAUGAAUUCGACCCAGCCUGGUCCCACGUGUUGCUCUACUUGGUCUAACACCCUCGGGAUCCCCUUCCACAGAUAUUCCCAGGUUUCUGCUGAUCUAUAUACGCUUUGGUACGGGUCUCAGCAACAGGAGUCGUCGUGGGGAUCUUACGGAGGACGAUCAUUCCCUGCCAAGAAAUCGGUCUAAGAUGAGGUCAUCACAGAUUUUCGGGGAAAGACACUCACUGCUCAGACAUUAGAAGGCAAGAUACUUCUACGGGCAGGAGAGGUUCAGAAAACAGGUAUUUAAGAUUUUUUCAGUUUCAUCAUGGCUCAAUUAGACAUCCCUUUUCCAAGUUUCAGAAUCCCAUUCUUUCCCAAUCAGUGCCCAGAAUUUACAUAAAAGAAAGCUGUGAAACUGAAUUCAACAGUCCUUAUAAUUUAUCAACUCACAAAAUUAUUUUUGAAAAACAGCUUGAGGUAUAAUUAAAAUACGAUAAAUUGUACAUAUUUAAAGUGCAAAACUGUAUGUUUUGACAUACGUAUACAUUCAUAAAACCAUCACUACAAUACAACAGUGAACAUAUCCAUCCCCCCAAAAGGUUCCUGGGGACCCUUUGUAAUCUCGCCCACUCACCCCUCUGCAAGCCGGCCAUCCACAAGCAAUCACUGACCUGCUUUCUGUCACUACAUAUUGUUGCAUCUAGAGCAGGAGUUGGCAAACAUUUUCUGUGAAGGGCCAAAUACUAAAUAAUUUUAGGUGUUGUGGGACAAGCAAAAAUGAAAAUAUUAUGUGGGUAUUUGUAUAACGAGAGAAAAUAAAAAUUUGCAUUGGUAAUACAAAAUAUAAUCAAAUUUGUAUUGGGAAUACAAAAUAUAAUCAUGAUUGAGUACAAUUUUUGUAAUACAAAUCUCCUAAUGAAAAGCAUGAACUUUUUUUUCUUUGCUUGGUAUAACAUUUUGCUUAAUUGGGGUUCAAAGUUAGUGUCCCCACAGGGAGGCUGGUUAGCUCAGUUGGUUAGAGAGCGGUGCUCUUAACAACAAGGGUGCUGGUUCGAUCCCCACAUGGGCCACUGUCAUGCGGGGUCUCAGCUCCCCGCACAAGAAUGCAGGACA
This is a long non-coding RNA of Rhinolophus ferrumequinum (greater horseshoe bat), 2679 nucleotides long. RefSeq lists it as uncharacterized. The transcript has 3 exons. NCBI's taxonomy places the organism in Eukaryota, Metazoa, Chordata, Mammalia, Chiroptera, Rhinolophidae. The record is from RefSeq and is a predicted model, not a curated record.